RNAcentral lists this transfer RNA (79 nucleotides) under Perca fluviatilis (European perch). It matches the Rfam family "tRNA". From Rfam's summary of the family: Transfer RNA (tRNA) molecules are approximately 80 nucleotides in length. Their secondary structure includes four short double-helical elements and three loops (D, anti-codon, and T loops). Lineage: Eukaryota; Metazoa; Chordata; Actinopteri; Perciformes; Percidae. The record is from Rfam by way of RNAcentral.
GACGAGGUGGCCGAGUGGUUAAGGCGAUGGACUGCUAAUCCAUUGUGCUCUGCACGCGGUUCUAAUCCCAUCCUCGUCG